GCAUAUCAAUAAGCGGAGGAAAAGAAACUAACAAGGAUUCCCCUAGUAACGGCGAGUGAAGCGGGAUGAGCUCAAAUUUAAAAUCUGGCUGGUUUACCAGUCCGAGUUGUAGUUUAAAGAAGCGUUUUCGGUGGCAGUCUCGGUAUAAAUCCUUUGGAAUAGGGUAUCAUAGAGGGUGAGAAUCCCGUCUUUGACUGAGAAUAUGCUACUAUGUGAUACGUUUUCAAAGAGUCGAGUUGUUUGGGAAUGCAGCUCAAAAUGGGUGGUAAAUUUCAUCUAAAGCUAAAUAUUGGCGAGAGACCGAUAGCGAACAAGUACCGUGAGGGAAAGAUGAAAAAGAACUUUGAAAAGAGAGUUAAACAGUGCGUGAAAUUGUUGAAAGGGAAACGCUUGAAACCAGUCAUGCGGUUGGGAAAUCAGUCUCUGACGGGGGGGAAUGGGGGAGUUGUGGACCGCAAGGCCGCUCUUUUUCAUAUCUCUUUUGGCAGGGAUGCACUUUUUCUUCUGCAGGUCAACAUCAGUUUGCUUUGCCGGACAAAACUUGGGGGAAGGUGACAGCUUAGGCUGUGUUAUAGCCCUCGAGCGAUACGGUGGAGCGGACUGAGGUUUUCGCAGCAUGUGCUCUCGGGCAAGGCUGAUUGGGUGCUAUGAGAUCGUUCAGGGUACAAUACAUGUAUUUUGCUCUGUGUCCUUUUUAUACUCGCUCAACUCGGCUCUUCCAUGCUUAGGAUGUUGACAUAAUGGUUUUAAUCGACCCGUCUUGAAACACGGACCAAGGAGUCUAACAUAUAUGCAAGUGUUUGGGUGGCAAACCCAUGCGCGUAAUGAAAGUGAACGUAGGUGCGAUCCGCAAGGUGCAGCAUCGACCGAUCUUGAUAUUUUUGGAUAGAUUUGAGUAAGAGCAUAUAUGCUGGGACCCGAAAGAUGGUGAACUAUGCCUGAAUAGGGUGAAGCCAGAGGAAACUCUGGUGGAGGCUCGUAGCGAUUCUGACGUGCAAAUCGAUCGUCAAAUUUGGGUAUAGGGGCGAAAGACUAAUCGAACC
This 1043-nucleotide ribosomal RNA is filed under the name Mortierella sp. HZ-2020a. Its description in RNAcentral is "partial large subunit ribosomal RNA". It matches the Rfam family "Eukaryotic large subunit ribosomal RNA", at positions 38 to 941 of the family's 3401-position model. Lineage: Eukaryota; Fungi; Mortierellomycota; Mortierellomycetes; Mortierellales; Mortierellaceae. The record is from RNAcentral.